This 475-nucleotide ribosomal RNA is filed under the name uncultured bacterium. RNAcentral's name for it is "bacterial SSU rRNA". It matches the Rfam family "Bacterial small subunit ribosomal RNA", at positions 30 to 499 of the family's 1533-position model. The record is from RNAcentral.
UGAACGCUGGCGGCGUGCCUUACACAUGCAAGUCGGAUGUGUCGCAAGACACAUGGCAGACGGGUGAGUAACACGUGGGAAACUUACCUCUUAGUGGGGAAUAACGCUCCGAAAGGAGCGGUAAUACCGCAUGAGACCUAUCGCUGGGAUGCGAUAGAUGAAAGCUGGGGAUCGUAAGACCUAGCGCUGAGAGAGAGUCCUGCGUCUGAUUAGUUAGUUGGUGAGGUAACGGCUCACCAAGACUUCGAUCAGUAGCCGGCCUGAGAGGGCGAUCGGCCACACUGGAACUGAGACACGGUCCAGACUCCUACGGGAGGCAGCAGUGGGGAAUCUUGCGCAAUGGGCGAAAGCCUGACGCAGCAACGCCGCGUGGGUGAUGAAGGUCUUCGGAUUGUAAAACCCUGUCGUUAGGGACGAAGGCAUGAAUCCUAAUACGAUUCAUGCUUGACGGUACCUAGAAAGGAAGCCCCGGCUA